This 449-nucleotide ribosomal RNA is filed under the name uncultured bacterium. Its description in RNAcentral is "partial 16S ribosomal RNA". It matches the Rfam family "Bacterial small subunit ribosomal RNA", at positions 29 to 523 of the family's 1533-position model. The record is from RNAcentral.
AGCGAACGCUGGCGGCAGGCCUAACACAUGCAAGUCGAACGAUCCUUCGGGAUAGUGGCGGACGGGUGAGUAACACGUGGGAACGUACCUUUAGGUUCGGGAUAACUCAGGGAAACUUGAGCUAAUACCGGAUGUGCCCUUCGGGGGAAAGAUUUAUCGCCUUUAGAGCGGCCCGCGUUAGAUUAGCUAGUUGGUGAGGUAAAGGCUCACCAAGGCUCCGAUCUAUAGCUGGUCUGAGAGGAUGAUCAGCCACACUGGGACUGAGACACGGCCCAGACUCCUACGGGAGGCAGCAGUGGGGAAUUUUCCGCAAUGGGCGAAAGCCUGACGGAGCAAUACCGCGUGAGGGAUGAAAGCCUGUGGGUUGUAAACCUCUUUUCUCAAGGAAGAAAUUUUGACGGUACUUGAGGAAUAAGCAUCGGCUAACUCUGUGCCAGCCGCCGCCGUAA